Molecule: long non-coding RNA, 2621 nt
Filed under: Astyanax mexicanus (Mexican tetra)
Lineage: Eukaryota; Metazoa; Chordata; Actinopteri; Characiformes; Acestrorhamphidae
Description: lncRNA (ENSAMXG00005008478.1)
Source: RNAcentral
GCGGUGCACGCGGAGCUCCGGGGAGCGGCCGGGUCUCCUCGCGCGGGUCAGCGGAGUGAAGACUGAAGGGAAGCGGCUCGGGCUGUUUAUCUGAUGCGGGGGGGAGCUGGGGGUCAAGCAGAGCGGCAGGUCUGAAUCAGUGAAACGGAUAUCGACCCUCACACAGCCCACCUAGCCUGUCUGACUGAGGACCCCCGCGGCGCUACGGGCUGCACGAGCUCCAGAAGAGCAGGACCACCCGAGACCGAGCGGUUUAAUACGGUGUGUUAAAGUCCUGAGAGCUCUGAGGAGGGGGAGGAGAGAUGUGUCCGUGUGUUUCAGUCAGUGGACGAGGUGAAUGAAGCCCCCCGGAGCUGAACACAUCUGGAGAGAGACGCUGAGUGAGAAUCCAAGAUUAACAAAGGAACACAGAAGCCAAGAGGAACUAGCUGAACCAGCCAUCAGUGUGGAUGAGGAUGACUGCAGCUGCAGCCAGGAAGAAAAGUCUUUGUUUUUUAAUGAGGUUGAAACAGCGUACGGUUUUGUUUUUCUUUUUAUGAGCCAGGGGCUUUUUGCAAAGGAUGUUGAUUUGCACGGAUUGAAGUAUUUGUCUUCUUGCUCUUCUUUCUUCUUAUAAAGUGCAACCAAAACCAGUGCCAAACAUUAACUGUGCCAAGCAGAAGCAAAAAAGAAAAAAAAUCAACUGUAAUUUUGAGAUCCUUUUUCAUCAUUUAAUCGUAAUUGUCAAAAAUAUUGAACCAUUUUCAUUGCAUUUCCCAUCUACCUUUUUUCUUUCUUUUUUAAAAAUAAGUGAUUAUUCUACCAGAACGGUGCAAAUUGUAGUGAAGACAAAAAGUAUUUAAGUGGCCGAAGAUAUUUUCAGAUGUUUUUUUGUUAAAAAAAAAAAGUUGCUGCUCCAAGAAUUAGGGAGAAUAGUGCAUUACUGGUUCAAAGUGCUUUAUUUAAGGGUGUUAGCAGCGCAUUAGCCUGUGUGCUAGCACGCUCUCACACUGGGAGGAAUUGCCCUGGACUGAUUGAUCGAUGGAUGGUUGGGCUUGAUGGAUGGCUCGCACAAGCCUCAUUAACCUCCCCAAAGUGACCUGCUGCUAAUUUUAUCAUUUAGUCAACUGUCCCCCUCAAUAACAAGUCCUCAUCUGUGUCCGCUUCUUCAUAUGACCUCUGGGUCAUUCUAAGCGUGUGCUUUUUCACGAGAACUUUUUCUUGGGAGAACGUCCCUCUCAUUUUCUUCUCUGAUCUCUGCGCACUGUGCACAUUUAGAACGAAGCCCAUACGAGUCUUUUUUUGGCUCUGAAAAAAAAAGAAUUUCACUAAAGCCAUAGGCCCCAUAGCCAUGCUAAAGUCAAAAUCUUUUUUGUCAUUGCAGAAGCCAUAAUCUUCAUAGCCAUGCUAAUGCUAAGAUCCCUGUCAUCGCAGUUAAGAUUGUGUUCUGCAAAUAUGAUGAAUAUGAAGUUGCUUUAGAAGAAGCACAGGAUCGCAAGAAAAUAUUCAGGGUUCCUUUAGAGACCAGUGGUGGCACGGGUGCAUUAUUGCCAUAUUUACCAGCAUGCAAUCUGUGGCUUUAAUCUGUUUACAAGUAAUCUGUUAAAUUUUCUGCUUUGUUUUCACGAUUGGAAGAAGCGAAAGUACUCCUCAGUACACAGAACAGAUUAAUUGAUUUGGCUGCGCGGGUCAAUACUGUGUCUGUUUGUUGCCCUCCACGUGUUCUAUAUUGACGAAUGAAUCCCACCUCGUUCAUGUCUGUUCAGAGGGCACAGUCGCGUUGUCCUGCCAGAGCUGGGCCUAAGCCCCCGUUCGUUUUAUUUUGUUGGGCCGAGUUGAACCCAGAACAGAGACAUUCACGGAAACGAGUCCAACACACCUAGACCCUUCAGCAGGCAACCCCUCGGCCUUCCCUCGCACCCAACCUCGCCAGGCCAUCUUCUGUGCCAUCCCUGACAUCCAUACAAGCAUGCACACAGUCCUCCUCUGACUUUUUGUGAAGUCAGGAACUAAUACAUGCUGCUUGGUACCUUUUACAAGUACCCUGACCGACUCGACUCUCCUCAAGCCUUUGUGAAGAGCUGUCGUCUUGUUGUAUCGCCUUUAGAAAAGAGAUCCGAUCUUCCUUCGUUUUGAAUUUCAGAAUUAUCAUUUUGCCGUCACUUCCUUUGAGGUUAUGUUCUUGCUGUACACUCCUACUAUUUCCUGUAGCCUCAAUAACUUACUAAACACAGAGGUUGUAUUUUUGUAUGCACAUAGACCGAGAAAUUAACCUGCUGUUGUGAUCAGUUGGACUGUGGAAUCAGACGCCCAAGAAUCUAGAGGCUAAAAAGCUCUUUUAUUUAUUUAUUUAUUUAUUGAAUUAUUUAUUUAUUGUUUUGUAAAUUUAAUUGACAAAUACGUCAGCCCACUCAGAUUUGUUUACAACGUAUCAUAUUUCAGAGCUUCCACAAAUCGUUUACAGUUCGAAGCUAAAAGAGCUAAAAACCAUACAGUAAGAGAUUUUUACUGAAGUUUAUAUCAUUUCUUUCAUUGAGAUCUUUUUAAGUUUGAGUAGUUGUGUAGAGCAACUAAAGUGCCAACUAGGAGCAAGAACCUAUCCAAAAAAUAGGAAUAAAGUAAAAGUAGACUUCGAGAUAUCA